Molecule: long non-coding RNA, 518 nt
Organism: Malaclemys terrapin pileata
Lineage: Eukaryota; Metazoa; Chordata; Testudines; Emydidae
Exons: 4
Source: RefSeq, a predicted model, not a curated record
UUCAGGUGACUCACAAACAGUAUCCCAACAGGAUGGUAGGAGCUUCAGAGGAGACUCCAAUACUGAAGACAGAACUGCACUGCCAACUGCCACAUCUGACCUAGAGGUAUUCCAGAAUGGUGGAAGAGAAGAACAGAUAGGAAGCACUUGUUGACGGAUACACCGUAGGUGAAAUCUCUUCCAUUUCAGAAGGACACCAUCUGCUAGGAACUACAUGACAACAACUCCUUCAGAGCUUUGAUCCCAGUGGUAUAGAAAGCAGUGUGGGAGAUACUGGAGUUUUGCACAGAUCAUAGAUACCUGCCAAUUAGGGAUCCAACCCUCCUGAGUAUUCUGCAAAUCCCACGACCCCAACAGCAUGACUUGAAAAAAAAUAACUAUUGGAUGUUACCUCUUUGAGGACCCCUUUAACGCUAACCCAGAUGUUUCCUUCAGUGAAUCAGGAGACAUCAAUUUUCAUUGCCAUCUUGAAAAUAAGUCUAAAUUUUUUUAUUUGUACUAGUAUUUGAAAAAAUGUU